GCGAUGGGGCUGGGCUGAGGCGAGGGGGCGGCGGCGACAGCGGCGGCCCCGGCCCCCCGCGGCUCCUCGGCAGCUCCGGCCGGGAGGCCGCGGGUGAGUGGCGCCGGCUUCCCGGCGCAGUCUGGCCGAGCGAACGGAGCGUGGAGAGGGUGGUGAUCGCGGAGGUUGGAGGAGACGAGUGGAAUGGUCAGGGUGGCGGGUACCGGAUCUGACAGAAACAUCCUUGGAUCUUGGUGUCUGGACAAGAAGAGGAUGAAACUGAGACGUCCCAGAGUCACAACUACUAAUAUUGGAAACCUAGAAAUUGGAACCUCUAUGUCACAGUUACAUACAGCUGGGGUCUGGCUCUCUCUUAUACUGAAAAUUGGUUAACUCAUCAAACCCCUGCCUCCCCCCAUACUUUUUUUUUUUUAAUUAAUAAAGUAGAACAAUAAUACUUGAGAAGUAGCUGAGACCGUAUCCAAAGAAAGGAGCACUCUUCCUGGCACAUAAUAGUUCCUUUCCCUCUUCUACUCCAUAGACUGAAUGAAGCUGCACUUGUUUUGCAUGGUGGUUUUAUAACUACUGUGAAUAUGAAGUCCCCCCCUCCCAUAUGGAUAUACCAGCUUUUAUUUAGCCAUUGUUAUAAGCGGUUUUUGACAACAAACAAGUUAGAUGAUCAGUCAUUUUCACCAAGCUUUGCACAUUUCUCUUUUACUUUAUGUAAUAAACUUUAUUUUUAAAGAGGUUUUGGAUUAUAGAAAAGUUACAUUGAAAGUAUAAGGGGGACGCAGACUUGGCUUAAUGGAUAGGGCGUCUGCCUACCACAUGAGAGGUCUGCAGUUCAAACCCAGGGCCUCCUGACCAGUGUGAUGAACUGGCACACAUGCAGUGCUGAUGUGCACAAGGAGUGCCGAGCCA
Molecule: long non-coding RNA, 900 nt
Filed under: Dasypus novemcinctus (nine-banded armadillo)
Lineage: Eukaryota; Metazoa; Chordata; Mammalia; Cingulata; Dasypodidae
Description: lncRNA (ENSDNOG00000052688.1)
Source: RNAcentral